RNAcentral lists this ribosomal RNA (497 nucleotides) under uncultured bacterium. Its description in RNAcentral is "partial 16S ribosomal RNA". It matches the Rfam family "Bacterial small subunit ribosomal RNA", at positions 28 to 507 of the family's 1533-position model. The record is from RNAcentral.
GAUGAACGCUGGCGGCGUGCCUAAUACAUGCCAGUCGAGCGAACAGAUGAGGAGCUUGCUCCUCUGACGUUAGCGGCGGACGGGUGAGUAACACGUGGAUAACCUACCUAUAAGACUGGGAUAACUUCGGGAAACCGGAGCUAAUACCGGAUAAUAUAUUGAACCGCAUGGUUCAAUAGUGAAAGACGGUUUUGCUGUCACUUAUAGAUGGAUCCGCGCCGCAUUAGCUAGUUGGUAAGGUAACGGCUUACCAAGGCAACGAUGCGUAGCCGACCUGAGAGGGUGAUCGGCCACACUGGAACUGGGACACGGUCCAGACUCCUACGGGAGGCAGCAGUAGGGAAUCUUCCGCAAUGGGCGAAAGCCUGACGGAGCAACGCCGCGUGAGUGAUGAAAGUCUUCGGAUCGUAAAACUCUGUUAUUAGGGAAGAACAAAUGUGUAAGUAACUAUGCACGUCUUGACGGUACCUAAUCAGAAAGCCACGGCUAACUACGUG